Molecule: ribosomal RNA, 95 nt
Filed under: uncultured bacterium
Lineage: Bacteria
Description: partial 16S ribosomal RNA
Rfam family: Bacterial small subunit ribosomal RNA
Source: RNAcentral
CACACGCCCGUCACACCAUGGAAGUCUGCUGCACCAGAAGUAGGUAGUCUAACCGCAAGGGGGCGCCUACCACGGUGUGGCCGAUGACUGGGGUG